Molecule: ribosomal RNA, 253 nt
Filed under: uncultured bacterium
Lineage: Bacteria
Description: partial 16S ribosomal RNA
Rfam family: Bacterial small subunit ribosomal RNA
Source: RNAcentral
UACGGAGGGUGCAAGCGUUAAUCGGAAUUACUGGGCGUAAAGGGUGCGUAGGUGGUUGAUUAAGUUAUCUGUGAAAUCCCUGGGCUUAACCUGGGCAGGUCAGAUGAUACUGAUUGACUCGAGUAUGGGAGAGGGUAGUGGAAUUUCCGGUGUAGCGGUGAAAUGCGUAGAGAUCGGAAGGAACACCAGCGGCGAAGGCGGCAUCCUGGACUGGUCCUGACACUCAGGAGCGAAAGCGUGGGGAGCGAUCCGG